UACGUAGGUGGCAAGCGUUAUCCGGAUUUAUUGGGCGUAAAGGGAACGCAGGCGGUCUUUUAAGUCUGAUGUGAAAGCUUUCGGCUUAACCGGAGUAGUGCAUUGGAAACUGGGAGACUUGAGUGCAGAAGAGGAGAGUGGAACUCCAUGUGUAGCGGUGAAAUGCGUAGAUAUAUGGAAGAACACCAGUGGCGAAAGCGGCUCUCUGGUCUGUAACUGACGCUGAGGUUCGAAAGCGUGGGUAGCAAACAGG
RNAcentral lists this ribosomal RNA (253 nucleotides) under uncultured bacterium. RNAcentral's name for it is "partial 16S ribosomal RNA". It matches the Rfam family "Bacterial small subunit ribosomal RNA", at positions 524 to 776 of the family's 1533-position model. The record is from RNAcentral.